Ribosomal RNA from Fukomys damarensis (Damara mole-rat), 120 nucleotides. NCBI's taxonomy places the organism in Eukaryota, Metazoa, Chordata, Mammalia, Rodentia, Bathyergidae. The record is from Ensembl.
AUGUAUGGCCACACCACCCUGAACGUGCCCGAUCUCAUCUGAUCUUUGAAGCUAAACAGGGUCAGGCCUGGUUAGUACUUGGAUGGCAGACGUAAUGGAAGUACUGCUCCAUUUUAUAUA